UACGGGGGGAGCAAGCGUUAAUCGGAAUUACUGGGCGUAAAGCGUGCGCAGGCGGUUUUGUAAGUCAGAUGUGAAAUCCCCGGGCUUAACCUGGGAAUGGCAUUUGGGACUGCAAGGCUCGAGUGCGGCAGAGGAGACUGGAAUUCCUGGUGUAGCAGUGAAAUGCGUAGAUAUCAGGAGGAACACCGAUGGCGAAGGCAGGUCUCUGGGCUGACACUGACGCUCAUGCACGAAAGCGUGGGGAGCAAACAGG
Molecule: ribosomal RNA, 253 nt
Filed under: uncultured bacterium
Lineage: Bacteria
Description: partial 16S ribosomal RNA
Rfam family: Bacterial small subunit ribosomal RNA
Source: RNAcentral